CCAGCUUCUCCGCACUCCGCACGUACCAUGACUUUUAAAAAUAAAUAAGUCAUCUCAGAAAACUAAAGCCUUCGUCUUCUUCCAUAACCAACCUGAUGGAGGCGGACAAACCCUAGAUGAGUCCCGUAGGUUCCCGUCCUGGCGGCUGGCGCCCCUUGCCGGCAAACUCUCCCCUUCUGCCCGUGAGUUCCAUCCUCCUCUUUCCGAAGUUCUUUGGAAUUACCGGAUCUAUUCUCUGUCAUACCCCUGGCGGCACCCUGCUCCGAGAUCGAUCCAUCAGGACGGCCUGAGCGACCUAUUCCCUGCGGCUGGUCUCCUGUGCAACAACCCAAUCCAGCCAUCCAGGCCAUCCACGAAGAUCUGUAAUUUAUGUGAUUGGGUUGUCAUGGCAAUUGUUGUUGAGAUAAGAUAAUCCAGCGCUGAAUUGACAAUCACGAGACAGGAGAAAAGCAAGUAAAUUUUUAUUUACCAUUGCCUCGCUUGAAUUGAUUGUGCCUGUUCAGGCUUUUUUCAGUUAAUUGUGAUCUUCAGGUCACUCGGCUGCAGGACAGCCAUGCCACAUUCAACAGGUGAUCGACCAGUUCAUCUAUGAAAACUGAGAAGAACUUCCAUGGGAGAAUUUGCAAGGAGCACAAGGAAUGGCCUUAAGGAAAAGCUAUGAAAAGAUACAAGAGCAGAGCAGAGCAGAGAAGAUUGGGGGAGCAGAUCCGCGUGUAGUAUAGGUUUCAACUAGUUAGCAUUACGUUAUAAUUUUUCCAGUGACCUGUGCAAUGUUUUAUGGAUCUUGUACCUUUCAGUUGUAAAGAUUGUUUUUUUAUAAUAUAAUUUCUUAUUCACCACCGUGUUA
Brachypodium distachyon (stiff brome) is the source of this 847-nucleotide long non-coding RNA. RefSeq lists it as uncharacterized. Lineage: Eukaryota; Viridiplantae; Streptophyta; Magnoliopsida; Poales; Poaceae. The transcript is spliced from 3 exons. The record is from RefSeq and is a predicted model, not a curated record.